UUAACUCGAUGUGAUUUUGCUGGCGAACCACUAAAUUGAACGAAUACGAACUAAACUGAACUCAACUAAGCUAAUCAUAUCACAUUACUAGCGUUAUUAGCCGAGAGACGAUAUAAGUGAAGGUCCGGUGGUGCCGGGCUGCAGUAACGGGUCGCCUCCUGCACUGACCCUCUGCACGACUUUCUUUUCGACCCCUUUUUCUCGUUCACACUAUCAAGAAUUUCGUGUCCUGUAUCAUCUAUCCGUAUCUAAAUCAUAGAAACGCGUUCAUUCUGCAUAAUUGUUACGUUUGUCGUUGUUUACGAAAUCGUUUUUUAGGUUAGUUUUGUGAAACUUUGUGCAAGGUGAAGUCUCUCGGAAGAAACAGACGAUUCUCGAUGUACACGAGGUCUGGCGGACGAUGUUGCCCGAUCCUGGCCGAGCCGCCCUGACUGUGCAACAGGAAACACGUGCGCCCGGUGAAAGUGACAGCUCGGAGCGCGCCAAAUUUGAAACGGAGAUCGAAGAAUCGCGUUGUUCGUCACGAAAUAUAAUAUUGAACAAACUGAGAAAGACUUGAUAUCGAAGUGGGGGAUAUCAGCGGUUAAAGAAAGAGAAGACAGAAUAAUUAUCUCCCACCAACCACUUUGAAGCGACAAGAGAGGGGAAUAGACCUGGUGGAAAGAUAAGAACGAAAUGGACACGAUACGUUCCGCCCCCACCACUUCUACCAGCAGAAUAGAAGGAGUUUCUCGGCUCCACCUCUUCCCCUUCCGAUAACACCCUCCUUCAACGGUGGAUGACGAUUUGACUCCGACUUACUGUACUUGGCUACCUCGCUCUUCAACCCCCUAAGACUUCUGUUUACAUCUCUCAUACACCCAGAAAAUUAGAACAGACUAAUAUAAUCCACGUAUAUACAUAUAUAAUGUACACAAGCUUUUACAUAUAUGGAGAACGAAGCGAGCUGAUAAUAAGCAGACAAAGGGAAAGAGUCUCUCUUGUUGAGAAGUAUAUUUAGAUCGAACGACACAGGGAAACGAGGUGAAGAGGAGGGUUUGGAAGAGACUUUUUGCACGCGAGCCGCUCUUUUUUACGUCGUAGGUAUGCCGACCGGAUAGUAUUGCCGUGUGGCCAGGCUGGCAGGGCCGACCAAUUGAGCCUGUUAACGUCAAUUGAGCUGAAUUAGUUCAAUUGGACGUAAUUGCACGAAGGCGACGGGGAACCUUCGCUCUCUGUUCACCAGCCAUGCUCGCGUUUCUCUUUUCGCGCUGAUAUCGCCGUAUUCUCAGGACUUCCUUCAAAGUACAGUCCAAACAUAAGUUCGAUAUAAUCGAGGAAUGUUGUACAAGACUUGAUACAUAGUUUGUUCAAAACACUGACUCUACGUUGUUUCUCUGCAGCCGUUAAAUUGUAAUCUCGUAGAUUUAGUUGUUUAAUUUCUCACUAAAUGAUCUCAGAUAAAAUUUAAUAUCAAAGAUGAAAUAGGUUUGACGUUGUUUAACGUGAUUCUUACAAUUCUUGAAGCAUUUAAACUUUGCUUUUGUUUAUUUUCAUAAUUAUAGUAGAUAAUUCUUGGGUACAAUAUUAACGCGAUUAUGUUGUGUAUGGGUACAAUAUCUAUUAUAUCAUCAAAUAACAAAUCAAACAUAGAAAGCAAUAGGUAUCUUCCUAAGAAAAUAACAGAGUCACAAAAGAAUUCACUACUUGACAAAUCAUUUCGUCGCUUCUAUGAAAAUUAAUGAAAAAUGAAAAAAAAGCAACCCUUAUAUCGGUCAGAAAAUUCCACCCUCUUUAUGUUCUCUAAGCUUCCCACAAGUAAAACAAAUUACAACAUCACCGGUACCAGGAUAAUGGCCAUCAGAGGAGGCAAUUAUGACAGCCGUGGCCCAAGAAUUAACGUGCCCACAUGAGCGUCGCGAGAUUCCUGAUCGAGAUCACAAUAAACGUUCCUUUCUCGCUUUUUUCCUUUUUUUCACCCCCAUGGAACGUUGGCGAACAAGCAACAGUCAUUGAUAUUAGUCACUUUAUAUCAUGCUGGUAUAUUUCACGGGUCAAAGCGUAGAGAGAUGGCCAACGACGAAAACUUUUUUAUAUGUGCUAUAUGUGUUUUGAGGAGAAAUACUGGUGGUCGAUACCCACCCUCGAUCGGACACAAAGAGCUUGGAUAUUUUCAAUAUACGCGUACUGUCUAUUCAAUGGUUGCUGCGAUUCUACCUGAGAUUCGAUUCAUGCAGGAGAUGAAUUCCUCGUUCGAAAUAUACUGGAUGCGACCACGUGGGUUGAGUGCAUGCAACAGGUGUACAUCGCUCGCGCGGGACUACCUGUUGAGUAGAUAUAAAUGAAGGCUUUCGUUUUCAACAAUUAUACUGUCCAGGAGUUAUACUCAUUAACUCUAUAAAUUAAAAGGAAAAAAGAGACGUGUGUCGGAUGUUACAAUUUUUAUGAAAUUUCUUCAGAAUUUACGUUUAUUUCUAUGAUUUUCUUGCAAUACAGAUAAGCUUACACUAGAGGCAAAUGUAAUUUGUUUCUUCGAGAUGUACAGUGGUAAUCACGUGUCCGGGCGAUGAAAUGUAGAUCAGUCAGAGACGUAGAGUUAACGAUGUAGAGUGACGCGUGAAGAAUGUAAAAUACAGUUGAAUUAGGAUGUGGUGAAACUGAAGAGAGUAGGAUUUGAGAAUUGAAGGGUGUAGAAUGAGCUAAAUUAGAUUAUUGAUGAAAGGAUUGAAGAUAUUUAUAAGGGUCGAAUUUGAGAGUUAAGGGGAGUGAAAUGUACACUGUAGAAUGAGAUUGAUUAGAUUAUUAAUUAUGAAAUGUGAAGGUUGAGGGGGCGUAGAAUAUAUGCUAUGAAAUGUACGCUAUAGAACGUAUAUCGUAGAAUGUUGUAGAAUGUAUUAAAUUAAAUUGUUGAUAAUCUUAUUUGCCAGAAUUUCGCAGUUGACAUUUUUCAUAAACUGUCUCGUUUAAUUGUAAUAAUAAUUAAGCUGGUAUUUAAUUGCACUUUUAGAUUUGUAGAUCGUGAUUCAAAGGAGAAAAUGUAACGUCGCAGCCUGAUGACGUCGCAUCCUUAUUAACCCGACGUAGUCACAUCCGUCGCUGUCCCGUUCUGUAUUCACGUGCAGGGUGUUUCUCGUAAUGAUACUUUGAUUUACAUAUUGAAACCAGUCUAUAGAGUUACGUACUUCAAUUUAAAAUUCUCUAAUACCAAAUCGUACUCUUCAAAUUUACGCUGGAAAUCUUAUUCUUUUUUAAUUUCAUACAUUUUCUAAUUCGCCGUGGUAUACUUGUACACAAAUAAUUUAUAGUAUAUAUAAUUAUAUCAUAACUCCUCCUACAUCUUUUUAUAAAAUCAGUUAAAGGUUGUCUGCGAAAUUUGGUGAAAAUCAAACCAUUUUUUAAUGUUCCCCUUAUUGUAUAUAGAUAAACAUUGCUAUCCAAAAAUUGGUCGCAUAUACUUCUAUCCAAGAGAAUGUUAUUUUAUUCAAAUUUCUCAAGAAUACACCACUCAUACAGUAACAUACUAAUUCAAUCUAUUAAACUCUUCACACUAUCCAGAAGAUGGAUCAAUAGAGAUUACUAAAUUGUUAUAAUUAAUUAAUAAUAAAUUAUUACAUAGAGAUUACUAAAUGGAUUAACAGACGAUUACUAAACUAAGAUAACAAAUUUAAAAUAGGUUUAGCUGAACGAUAAGGUGCAAACUCAUUGUAUUCUCGAUAUGAGCCAACAUCGCUAUACCAAGCAGCUACGAAGCAGCUCUGGAUGGCUAAGAGAACAGAUGAAAUAUUAAAGUACGUAGUUGUAGAUUCUCACGCAAAACGAGGGCGAACGUAUUCGUUGUGAAAAGGUGCAGCGCACAUUGACGAGCAAUUAGUCGACGACCUAUGCCCUCAUAUUUCGUGAGAACGAGAAAUUCGGACUCUGAUACAUGCUACGAGGUUUAUAUCAUCCCGCAUAAGAUCAUCUAUGUACAAUAAUAUAACAGGACUGCGGGUGGGAAUUUACGAGGACGUCUUUAGAUCUGAUUACAUGAAAUUUUGGGUGUUCAGAGAACCGGUGGAAAACUGCGCCCAUAUCCAGAAAUGUCGCAUAAAAGUGCCACCGUCAAGACUAAUCUCCCUCCGAGAUCGUUUUCGAAAUCGACAUUUUUGUUCGAAUAAAAGCGUAGAUCUCAGAGUCGAGAACUUAUUUUGUGACGGUUCAAUUCGUGUAUUUGAAGAAUUGAACAGGAAAAGUGGCAAUUAUUAUACCGAUAUCUUUAUUGAUUAACUCUAUUUGUUGCGUGCAUUAAGCAUCGCAGAAUCAAAGAAUUUAUUUAAUGUAAGAAUUCUGGAUAAGCGUAACGAUCUCGUUGUACCUGUUUACCUUAAGUAGAAGACCCCGCGAUCUUCAAGACAACGCGAGACAAAAUUAAGCUCUACAACGUGAAACAGCGUGGACUAAAAUGUAGAUGUACGAACUGAGAACUUAUUUGGCAAUAAUUUAACUCGCCUGUUUGAAGAAUAUAAUAGAAAAACGAAUGGAAUUACUUGAAUUCCUUUGUAUUAUAAUUUUACUAUAAUUAAGAUCCUCAUGCGCUUCUUUUAAUUUCUUGUCAUCGAAAACUGUAAGAAAUUAUAAAUGUUUAUAUUUGUUAAAUGUGAUAUGGGUUUCUAUCGAAAUAUUUGUAAAAUGAACGACAGCAGCGACAGACAGUCGAGGACUCCGUAGAAAAUUGUUUCGUCGAGUGUCUUCAGGGACUCUGCACUCUGAACCCCAUGGAGGAACCAUAUGUUUUUACGUAUGUUCAUGCUGGCGAAGAUGACUCUUCCUGACACGCGACCCGCAGCCACCCUAAAUACUUAAUUGUCAAUUCGAUUUUGGUGAGGGAAUGAUAUCCGUGGAAUUCUCCGCUCCGGGAUUCUCUCUCCAGAUUUUUUCACAAUGAGAACACCAUGAAAUUAAUAGCCCUUUUAUAAUGGUACAAUAUAUGAAUGGUACUGAAAGGAACUUUUAUUAUCUAAGGUUUGUUGGAAAUUCUAUUCAAACUAUCUAGGAUGUAAAUUAAUGUUAAAAUACAUAGUAAUUACAAAGAAUAAUAACAAAAUUAAAAUAAGUAUAGCUUAAUAAUAUGUAAGUAUAAAUUCAUUGUAUUUUCAAUAUGGACCAACAUCUUCACUGUAUCAAACUCUCCAAAGCAUCUUUGAGUAAAUAGAUAAAUCUUUAUGUAUAUAUAGUUCAAUAAAUUAGAUACUAAUCCACGAAUUUAAUCUACGAACAACAUUUUAUAUGUACAAUCUACGAAUUAAAUAAUUACUCUACAAAUACAUAGUUCUUGAGAAUAAAAUUUUAUGAAUUCAUUAAAUCUCUAUACCUUUACUUUUUAAAUCCGUUAUAAGAUAAUUGAUACAGUGUCGUUGGUGAAUUUAUAGGAAGAAAUAAUGAAAUAAUUAAUUAUUAAAGUCUUCAUGGAUUAUUUAACGAUUUAAAUUAUUUUGAAGGCAUAGAUUUAAUUUUAUUAUGAGAUCAUAAUCAGUUCGAAUUUGGUGCGUGAAGAAAUCUAUAUUACCCGCUUAAUGAAAUAAAACGUUCGGUGGAGACAUCUAACGAUUCUUUCAAAAGUAUCGUAAUCGUAGACUCUCAAGGUGCAUAAAAAUUGUACGGAACUCAUUUUCAAAAUUGCAUUCAAUUGCAUUACAGUCUCAAAUAAUUCUUCGCUUAAAUGAAAUAUUGGGAACAGUACAUAUAAUUACAAUCAAAGCUUUCAUUCAAUCACAGUUCGAAAUUAUUGUUGAAAUUUUGCUGCAACUUACGAAACAAAAAGGCUUUAAUAACCUACGUAAAAUUAUAUACCAUACCUUAUAGCACAUUAUAAUACUUGAUUAAUCAGUAUAAAAAUAAUAAUUGAGGAUGAACAAAAUGUAAUUCUUUACUCGAAAAAUGGAAUUUUAAAUGUAUAAUAGCAGCAAUCUAUACAAUUUAUUACCUGUAAUUUCAUUCAACACAAAGUUUGAAUUGUAUAAGACGCUAUAUAAUAAAUUGGCACACAAUUCAUAAAGUGUCAUAAAUUUUAAAGUACAUAUAAAGUAUAGUGUAGCAGAAACAUAGCUAUCGCUUAAAAUACCACAGCCAAUCGUCGACAAACAUUUGUGAGGUCAGUCCACCGAGCUCUCGUGAAAUUAGCUGAAGAGGGAGAAAUAGAAUGCAGCUAGUGAAUGUGGCAUAACAGAAUAAAAGGAGCACGGUGCAUCCUUUACUGAUGAAAGUCUGACUCGACCUACAGGCCACCACAAAAUUAUCUUCUUUAACUCUCAUCUCUAGAGGAAAAAUAUUUUCUACUUCAAGUCAAAGAAAACAUGAAUGCAAAUGAAAUAGAAGGAAUGAAAAAUAAUGAAUUAUCUAAAACGAGAUGAAGGAAACCAUACACAAAAUCAUAUUUUGAAGAAGCUAAAAAAUAUUGGAAUAUUACUGUUAUAUAAAAUAGGAAGGAAAUUAAGAUAUAUAUAUAUAAUCAUUUUAAUUAUGUUGUACAAACACAUACAAGUAAGAACCAUUUCUAACAAGGAUAAUAUAAAUAUUUUUUACCUAGAAAAAUCAGAGACACAAUUCUGUCGAAUAUAACAAAUUCUGAUAGACUACAAAGACAGGCUACAGUGUAAUAAAGAUACUUGGAAUAAGUUUUUCCUUUAGGAAUCCAAAUCACAAUUAUUCUUUCUUCAAAUCAUCGGUCUUUGUCUGAUUUAUUAUUAAAAUUAUCUUUAAUCACUUCAAUUAUUAAUUUUAGCCACUACAUGCAAAGAACUAAUUUAUCUUUUUAUCACUCUC
Molecule: long non-coding RNA, 6780 nt
Organism: Bombus pyrosoma
Lineage: Eukaryota; Metazoa; Arthropoda; Insecta; Hymenoptera; Apidae
Exons: 4
Source: RefSeq, a predicted model, not a curated record